This 72-nucleotide transfer RNA is filed under the name Myochromella boudieri. Its description in RNAcentral is "tRNA-Met". It matches the Rfam family "tRNA". Rfam says of the family: Transfer RNA (tRNA) molecules are approximately 80 nucleotides in length. Their secondary structure includes four short double-helical elements and three loops (D, anti-codon, and T loops). Lineage: Eukaryota; Fungi; Basidiomycota; Agaricomycetes; Agaricales; Lyophyllaceae. The record is from RNAcentral.
AGCGAUAUGGUGUAAAGGAUAGCACAACAGCCUCAUGACCUGUUAGUUUGGGUUCGAAUCCUGAUCUCGCUA